This 93-nucleotide ribosomal RNA is filed under the name Paenibacillus sp. JJ-223. Lineage: Bacteria; Bacillati; Bacillota; Bacilli; Caryophanales; Paenibacillaceae. The record is from RNAcentral.
GUUCCACACGUUCCCAUCCCGAACACGACCGUUAAGCCCUCUAGCGCCGAUGGUACUUGGACCGCAGGGUCCUGGGAGAGUAGGAAGCCGCCA